CACUGCAGGCUCAACCUCUGGGACUCAGGUGAUCCUCCCAUCUCAGCCUCCCAAGUAGCUGGGACUACAGGUUGCUUCUUCCAGAUCCCUUUUGAUCUACUUUCAGCUAUGGAUUCAUGAGAAUCAAGACUAAGCAGCCUGAAUUGAAGGAGUAACAGUAUCACCUAACAAUGAUUUUGCUGCCAUAGUAGCUGUUUGUAUACUGGCCAUAUGCCUAGGUAAAAUGAGGCCAGAUCACUCUCAAGAGUUUUCUAUCAGAGUUGGUGGUGAACUACUGCUCACGGAUAAUGGGUCUCACUCACUUUGUCAUCCAGGCUGGAGUGCAGUGGUGGGAUCUCAGCUCACUGCAACCUCCACCUCUUGGGUUUAAGCAAUUCUCCUGCCUCAGCCUCCCAAGUAACUGGGAUUACAGACGAGAAACCCCAGCUGAGGAGGCAAAUAUACUCAAGGAAAGUAAUAGUUUCCAAAUGCCUGGCAGUGCCAGGAAGGGGCCAUGUCCAUGGACCACUAUGUAAGGAUAUCUCAGUCUCUAGUCCAGCGUGGUUUAUGGUGCCAAAUAAGUGCCAGGUGAACUCACUACAUCUGACAAAAUCUCAAGGAACCAAGUUUACCAGAUAAUAUUUAUGAUUAUGUGAAAAAGACUGAGGAAAUCACUCAAGUGAUCCAUCAUACAGCACCUCCAGUUCCAAAGAAUACUGACUUACUUCAGCUGUACUGGUCUGGAGCUGCACAUUCUUUUCAGACAACUCUUGUUCCA
This 757-nucleotide long non-coding RNA is filed under the name Homo sapiens (human). RNAcentral's name for it is "novel transcript, antisense to KIF27". The record is from RNAcentral. Lineage: Eukaryota; Metazoa; Chordata; Mammalia; Primates; Hominidae.